GAUGAACGCUGGCGGCGUGCCUAAUACAUGCAAGUCGAGCGAACAGGCCAUGAACUUCGUCGUGCUACCUUACCGGGAGACAAGAUAGUAACACGUGGAGAACCUGCCUAUAAGACGUGGAUAACCUCCGGAAACGAGCGCGAAAACCGCAGGAUAUAGUUGACAGUAUCGUUCAAUAGUAAAUGAUGCCUAUCAAGUGUCUUAAAGAUGGAUCUGCUACGAAUUAGCGAGGGAGCAGCGUAGCAUUAGCUAGUUGGUAAGGUAACGGCCUACCAAGGCAAUGAUGCGUAGCCGACCUGAGAGACUGAUCGGCCACACUGGAACUGAGACACGGCCCAGACUCCUACGGGAGGCAGCAGUAGGGAAUCUUCCGCAAUGGACGCAAGCCUGAUGGAGCAACGCCGCGUGAGUGAUGAAGGUUUUCGGAUCGUAAAGCUCUGUUAUUAGGGAAGAACAACUGUGGUAGUAACUGUGCUCUUCUUGACGGUACCCAAUCAGAAAGCCACGGCUAACUACGUG
This 519-nucleotide ribosomal RNA is filed under the name uncultured bacterium. RNAcentral's name for it is "partial 16S ribosomal RNA". It matches the Rfam family "Bacterial small subunit ribosomal RNA", at positions 28 to 507 of the family's 1533-position model. The record is from RNAcentral.